Eutrema salsugineum is the source of this 148-nucleotide small nucleolar RNA. It matches the Rfam family "Small nucleolar RNA snoR2/U65". NCBI's taxonomy places the organism in Eukaryota, Viridiplantae, Streptophyta, Magnoliopsida, Brassicales, Brassicaceae. The record is from Rfam.
UGUCCGAUGCCACGUCGAUGAUAGCUUCUGGGCUUUGAUCUUUGAUGCUACAUUGGACAUAAACAAAUGUUUGUGUUUCGCUUUCUGAUAGGAACCUGUGGAUCUUGAUCAUUCUACGAUCUACGGAGCCAUUUCGGCGAUUACAUUU